GACGAAGGUGGCGAGCGUUGUUCGGUGUUACUGGGCUUAAAGAGUACGUAGGCGGAAAGGUAAGCGUUUUGUGAAAUCCCUCGGCUUAACCGAGGAAUUGCUGGACGAACUACCUUUCUUGAGGCAAGUAGGGGUGCAUGGAACUCUUGGUGGAGCGGUGGAAUGCGUAGAUAUCAAGAGGAACGCCGGCGGUGAAAACGGUGCACUGGGCUUGUUCUAACGCUGAGGUACGAAAGCGUGGGGAGCGAACGGGAUUAGAUACCCGCGUA
RNAcentral lists this ribosomal RNA (269 nucleotides) under uncultured prokaryote. Its description in RNAcentral is "partial 16S ribosomal RNA". It matches the Rfam family "Bacterial small subunit ribosomal RNA", at positions 524 to 792 of the family's 1533-position model. The record is from RNAcentral.